This 821-nucleotide ribosomal RNA is filed under the name Flavobacteriaceae bacterium ACEMC 5-4. Its description in RNAcentral is "bacterial SSU rRNA". It matches the Rfam family "Bacterial small subunit ribosomal RNA", at positions 45 to 862 of the family's 1533-position model. RNAcentral also lists the same sequence under 1 other name. Lineage: Bacteria; Pseudomonadati; Bacteroidota; Flavobacteriia; Flavobacteriales; Flavobacteriaceae. The record is from RNAcentral.
GGCUUAACACAUGCAAGUCGAGGGGUAACAGAGGUAGCUUGCUACUUGCUGACGACCGGCGCACGGGUGCGUAACGCGUAUAGAAUCUACCUUAUACUGGGGGAUAGCCUUUGGAAACGAAGAUUAAUACCCCAUAGUAUGUUUGAAUGGCAUCAUUUGGACAUUAAAGUUUCGGCGGUAUAAGAUGACUAUGCGUUCUAUUAGUUUGUUGGUAAGGUAACGGCUUACCAAGACUACGAUAGAUAGGGGUCCUGAGAGGGAGAUCCCCCACACUGGUACUGAGACACGGACCAGACUCCUACGGGAGGCAGCAGUGAGGAAUAUUGGACAAUGGAGGCAACUCUGAUCCAGCCAUGCCGCGUGUAGGAAGACUGCCCUAUGGGUUGUAAACUACUUUUAUAUGGGAAGAAUAAGGUCUACGUGUAGACUGAUGACGGUACCAUAAGAAUAAGCACCGGCUAACUCCGUGCCAGCAGCCGCGGUAAUACGGAGGGUGCAAGCGUUAUCCGGAAUCAUUGGGUUUAAAGGGUCCGUAGGCGGGCAUAUAAGUCAGUGGUGAAAGUCUGUGGCUCAACCAUAGAAUUGCCAUUGAUACUGUAUGUCUUGAAUUAUUGUGAAGUGGUUAGAAUAUGUAGUGUAGCGGUGAAAUGCUUAGAGAUUACAUAGAAUACCGAUUGCGAAGGCAGAUCACUAACAAUAUAUUGACGCUGAUGGACGAAAGCGUAGGUAGCGAACAGGAUUAGAUACCCUGGUAGUCUACGCCGUAAACGAUGGAUACUAGUUGUUUGGUUUUCGGACUGAGUGACUAAGCGAAAGUGAUA